GUGAAAUUACAAUACAAGUAAGAUUUAUACUCUAAGAUUGUAAAAUUAAAGCGCAUCUUAGCAAAUUUUCUCAUAUGUCUUGGAAAAUUACUCAAAAUGUGUUAUAAUUUGAAUUCAUACACACUGAUUAGUAAUUUAGCCAUCUCAUGUUGAGUAAAAAAAUGAUAAUUUUACAAAAAAUUUUUACAGUGUAUAUAAUUCUAUUGUCCACGUCACGACCACGUUGCAA
RNAcentral lists this unclassified non-coding RNA (229 nucleotides) under Melitaea cinxia (Glanville fritillary). Its description in RNAcentral is "misc RNA ENSMCXG00005003771.1". The record is from RNAcentral. Lineage: Eukaryota; Metazoa; Arthropoda; Insecta; Lepidoptera; Nymphalidae.